Bos taurus (domestic cattle) is the source of this 407-nucleotide long non-coding RNA. The record is from Ensembl. Lineage: Eukaryota; Metazoa; Chordata; Mammalia; Artiodactyla; Bovidae.
CAGAUGGUAAAGAAUCUGCCUGCAAAGUGGGAGACCCAGGUUUUAUCCCUGGGUCAGGAAGAUUCCCCAGGAGAAGGGAAUGGCUAUUCACUCCAGUAUUCUUGCUUGGAGAAUUCCAUGGACAGAGGAGCCUGGCGAACACUUAUAUCUGCCUAACUGCCAGUCCUGUGUCAUCUUGGAGGAGAGAAAGAUCCAUUUAUUUCUUUGUUUGUAACAGGUAACUAUGUACCCAGUAGAAAAUUUAAAAGAUACAAAAGACCAUACAGUGAAUAUAAGUUCCCGUCCAUCACACCCCCUCCUUCAUCCUCGUCCUCUCGCCCUCCCCAACCCCGAUCCCCAGACAAUUAGUUACUGCUACCGUCCCUGAACAAGAAAUCUCUUUACAGACUGAAAAACUAAGGCAAUCG